Molecule: ribosomal RNA, 383 nt
Filed under: uncultured Anaerolineaceae bacterium
Lineage: Bacteria; Bacillati; Chloroflexota; Anaerolineae; Anaerolineales; Anaerolineaceae
Description: bacterial SSU rRNA
Rfam family: Bacterial small subunit ribosomal RNA
Source: RNAcentral
ACAUAUAAGUUGUAGGGAACUGAAAGGACCGACCUUCGGGGAGCUUGCACAGGUGCUGCAUGGCUGUCGUCAGCUCGUGUCGUGAGAUGUUCGGUUAAGUCCGCUAACGAGCGCAACCUCGCUGUGUGUUAUAUGUGUCACACGGGACUGCCGGUCUUAAGCCGGAGGAAGGUGGGGAUGACGUCAAGUCAGCAUGGCCUUUAUAUCCUGGGCUACACACACGCUACAAUGGGAAGGGACAAUAGGUUGCGAAGCCGCGAGGCGGAGCCAAUCCAGCAAAACUUCCCUCAGUUCAGAUUGCAGGCUGCAACUCGCCUGCAUGAAGUUGGAGUUGCUAGUAAACGCAGGUCAGCCAUACUGCGUUGAAUACGUUCCCGGGGCUU